UACGUAGGGUGCAAGCGUUGUCCGGAAUUAUUGGGCGUAAAGAGCUCGUAGGCGGUUCGUCGCGUCGGCUGUGAAAACCCGGAGCUCAACUCCGGGCCUGCAGUCGAUACGGGCGGACUUGAGUGUUGCAGGGGAGACUGGAAUUCCUGGUGUAGCGGUGAAAUGCGCAGAUAUCAGGAGGAACACCGGUGGCGAAGGCGGGUCUCUGGGAAGCUACUGACGCUGAGAAGCGAAAGCGUGGGGAGCGAACAGG
This 253-nucleotide ribosomal RNA is filed under the name uncultured bacterium. RNAcentral's name for it is "partial 16S ribosomal RNA". It matches the Rfam family "Bacterial small subunit ribosomal RNA", at positions 524 to 776 of the family's 1533-position model. The record is from RNAcentral.